RNAcentral lists this ribosomal RNA (924 nucleotides) under Triticum aestivum (bread wheat). RNAcentral's name for it is "partial small subunit ribosomal RNA". The record is from RNAcentral. Lineage: Eukaryota; Viridiplantae; Streptophyta; Magnoliopsida; Poales; Poaceae.
AUGAGCCACACGACUCGCCAACAGCUGCUCCUAAACCCACGCACACAACGCACACCCACAUGUACACGCCCGUGCUGCACCUGCACACACACACACACUCCCUGCCGCGGACCCGACGCGCCCAGCACGCCUGGCGUGCCCAUACACGCACCCGACGCGGUGAGCUCGUCGCCGCGGCUUAUUACAUCCAACACUCGCGCCCUAAUCCGCGACUCAGAGCAGCCCGGUGUCCUCGACGUCGUCCACGAGCAGGGCUCGCUCUGUCGCUGGCGCCUUCUUGAGCUGCGAGCACUCGCGCUUGAAAUGUCCGCGUUCGCUGCACUUGUAGCACCGUCCCCGCCGGUUGCCGCCGAGGCCCGAAGCUUCGUUGCGCACGUCAUCGUCGUCGUCCCACGCUCCACCUCGCCGCUGCUCCCGCACCCGCCAUUGUGCCGCCGUGUACAGCAGCUCGCCGCCUGCCUACCUGCGCCGACGCAGCCGCUCGUCAAACGCCUUCAGGCGUCCCAACGCAUCCUCGAACAGCAGCGUCGAGAGGUCACAGAACUGCUCCAUCCCGGCGACCGCUGCGUACAAGCGAUCCGGGACGCAGUCCAGCAGCUUCUUCAUCAUCGCCGAGUCGUCGAAGGUUGCUCCCAGCCCGGCGUAGCGCGCCGCCAUGCCGCUGAUCUUCCCGACGAAGGCGUCCAGCGACUCCCCACCGUCCAUCCGCAGGAGUUCGAACUCGCUGCGCAAUGUGCCCAGCCACGCUGCUCGGACGCGAUCGGCCCCGACGAACCGGGCCUUGAGGCUGCUCCAAAUCUCCGCCGCGGUCUUCUUCGCGGCCACCUGCAGCAGCAGAUCGUCGGCGAGCACCCGGAGCAGGUAAGCCCGCGCCGGCUUAUCCUCGUCAGAUCGGCCUCCACCUUGAUGGCCGAGGUGGUGUAG